GGGUUGUGAGGUUAAGCGACUAAGCGUACACGGUGGAUGCCCUGGCAGUCAGAGGCGAUGAAGGGCGUGCUAAUCUGCGAUAAGCGCCGGUAAGGUGAUAUGAACCGUUAUAACCGGCGAUACCCGAAUGGGGAAACCCAGUGUGAUUCGUCACACUAUCAUUAACUGAAUCCAUAGGUUAAUGAGGCGAACCGGGGGAACUGAAACAUCUAAGUACCCCGAGGAAAAGAAAUCAACCGAGAUUCCCCCAGUAGCGGCGAGCGAACGGGGAGGAGCCCAGAGCCUGAAUCAGCAUGUGUGUUAGUGGAAGCGUCUGGAAAGGCGCGCGAUACAGGGUGACAGCCCCGUACACAAAAGCGCAUGUGCUGUGAGCUCGAUGAGUAGGGCGGGACACGUGGUAUCCUGUCUGAAUAUGGGGGGACCAUCCUCCAAGGCUAAAUACUCCUGACUGACCGAUAGUGAACCAGUACCGUGAGGGAAAGGCGAAAAGAACCCCGGCGAGGGGAGUGAAAAAGAACCUGAAACCGUGUACGUACAAGCAGUGGGAGCNNGUGACUGCGUACCUUUUGUAUAAUGGGUCAGCGACUUAUAUUCUGUAGCAAGGUUAACCGAAUAGGGGAGCCGGAGGGAAACCGAGUCUUAAUUGGGCGUUAAGUUGCAGGGUAUAGACCCGAAACCCGGUGAUCUAGCCAUGGGCAGGUUGAAGGUUGGGUAACACUAACUGGAGGACCGAACCGACUAAUGUUGAAAAAUUAGCGGAUGACCUGUGGCUGGGGGUGAAAGGCCAAUCAAACCGGGAGAUAGCUGGUUCUCCCCGAAAGCUAUUUAGGUAGCGCCUCGUGAAUUCAUCUCCGGGGGUAGAGCACUGUUUCGGCUAGGGGGCCAUCCCGGCUUACCAACCCGAUGCAAACUGCGAAUACCGGAGAAUGUUAUCACGGGAGACACACGGCGGGUGCUAACGUCCGUCGUGAAGAGGGAAACAACCCAGACCGCCAGCUAAGGUCCCAAAGUCAUGGUUAAGUGGGAAACGAUGUGGGAAGGCCCAGACAGCCAGGAUGUUGGCUUAGAAGCAGCCAUCAUUUAAAGAAAGCGUAAUAGCUCACUGGUCGAGUCGGCCUGCGCGGAAGAUGUAACGGGGCUAAACCAUGCACCGAAGCUGCGGCAGCGANNGUUGGGUAGGGGAGCGUUCUGUAAGCCUGUGAAGGUGGCCUGUGAGGGUUGCUGGAGGUAUCAGAAGUGCGAAUGCUGACAUAAGUAACGAUAAAGCGGGUGAAAAGCCCGCUCGCCGGAAGACCAAGGGUUCCUGUCCAACGUUAAUCGGGGCAGGGUGAGUCGACCCCUAAGGCGAGGCCGAAAGGCGUAGUCGAUGGGAAACGGGUUAAUAUUCCCGUACUUGGUGUUACUGCGAAGGGGGGACGGAGAAGGCUAUGUUGGCCGGGCGACGGUUGUCCCGGUUUAAGCGUGUAGGUGUGUGUUCCAGGUAAAUCCGGUUCACUUUAACACUGAGGCGUGAUGACGAGGCACUACGGUGCUGAAGUAACAAAUGCCCUGCUUCCAGGAAAAGCCUCUAAGCAUCAGGUAACAUCAAAUCGUACCCCAAACCGACACAGGUGGUCAGGUAGAGAAUACCAAGGCGCUUGAGAGAACUCGGGUGAAGGAACUAGGCAAAAUGGUGCCGUAACUUCGGGAGAAGGCACGCUGACACGUAGGUGAAGUGAUUUACUCAUGGAGCUGAAGUCAGUCGAAGAUACCAGCUGGCUGCAACUGUUUAUUAAAAACACAGCACUGUGCAAACACGAAAGUGGACGUAUACGGUGUGACGCCUGCCCGGUGCCGGAAGGUUAAUUGAUGGGGUCAGCGCAAGCGAAGCUCCUGAUCGAAGCCCCGGUAAACGGCGGCCGUAACUAUAACGGUCCUAAGGUAGCGAAAUUCCUUGUCGGGUAAGUUCCGACCUGCACGAAUGGCGUAAUGAUGGCCAGGCUGUCUCCACCCGAGACUCAGUGAAAUUGAACUCGCUGUGAAGAUGCAGUGUACCCGCGGCAAGACGGAAAGACCCCGUGAACCUUUACUAUAGCUUGACACUGAACAUUGAGCCUUGAUGUGUAGGAUAGGUGGGAGGCUUUGANNCCGGGUUGCGGACAGUGUCUGGUGGGUAGUUUGACUGGGGCGGUCUCCUCCUAAAGAGUAACGGAGGAGCACGAAGGUUGGCUAAUCCUGGUCGGACAUCAGGAGGUUAGUGCAAUGGCAUAAGCCAGCUUGACUGCGAGCGUGACGGCGCGAGCAGGUGCGAAAGCAGGUCAUAGUGAUCCGGUGGUUCUGAAUGGAAGGGCCAUCGCUCAACGGAUAAAAGGUACUCCGGGGAUAACAGGCUGAUACCGCCCAAGAGUUCAUAUCGACGGCGGUGUUUGGCACCUCGAUGUCGGCUCAUCACAUCCUGGGGCUGAAGUAGGUCCCAAGGGUAUGGCUGUUCGCCAUUUAAAGUGGUACGCGAGCUGGGUUUAGAACGUCGUGAGACAGUUCGGUCCCUAUCUGCCGUGGGCGCUGGAGAACUGAGGGGGGCUGCUCCUAGUACGAGAGGACCGGAGUGGACGCAUCACUGGUGUUCGGGUUGUCAUGCCAAUGGCACUGCCCGGUAGCUAAAUGCGGAAGAGAUAAGUGCUGAAAGCAUCUAAGCACGAAACUUGCCCCGAGAUGAGUUCUCCCUGAGACUUAAGGUCUCCUGAAGGAACGUUGAAGACGACG
This 2742-nucleotide ribosomal RNA is filed under the name Salmonella enterica subsp. enterica serovar Dublin. RNAcentral's name for it is "bacterial LSU rRNA". It matches the Rfam family "Bacterial large subunit ribosomal RNA". The record is from RNAcentral. Lineage: Bacteria; Pseudomonadati; Pseudomonadota; Gammaproteobacteria; Enterobacterales; Enterobacteriaceae.